This 1446-nucleotide long non-coding RNA is filed under the name Homo sapiens (human). RNAcentral's name for it is "HSALNT0098465". Lineage: Eukaryota; Metazoa; Chordata; Mammalia; Primates; Hominidae. The record is from RNAcentral.
CCGGCAUCUGCUUUUCCGUGCCUGGAGCCUUGUCUCUCCGCACUAGCGCUGCACUGGCCCCUUGUCUCUGUGACAGGCGAAGAAAGAUCCCUGGACCGGGAUUAGGAGACGCGGGUUCUAGUUGCCACCUUGCCAACUGCUGGACAUCCUUGGGCAAACCACUUGGGCUCCAUUUUGCCAUUUGUUGAAUGAGAUUCCCCAAAAGCCCCUGACGUGCUGCCGCCGCCCCUUCUCCUCGAGGCAGUCCCCUGCCCUUCCCUUCUGCUGCUUACACUACCCUAUCACCACCCCUCAAUCUCUAUCUUCCUCUGCACGUCCCUUGCCCCUUCUAGUCCGCCACCUCUCUUUAGAUUUCCCGUUUUCAUUUCCACCUCUCCCGCCGAACGCCUCCUCUGCCCACCUUCCAGAGAGGCCUGGGUCUGGUACACGCUUUUCCACUGACCACCUGUGUGAUUCUCAGCAAGGCUCUCGGCCGCCUGCGCCCCACCCUCGUCCCCUUGCAGGGUUGAUCCGGUGAGACAGAAAAGGCUUUGAGAGCUGGUUCUGUGAAGAGUACAUGAAAUUUUGGCUACUUCUUUCAGGACUUAUCAGGUCUUACCAGGUCUGCACAAACCACGACGUCCUGGAAAAACAGCACAUGGUUCCUUCCAAGAAUUUACAUCUUAUUAUUGACUCUUCUAAUCCAUAAAUAAGGCUGGAGUGCACUCUUGGCUCACUGCAACCUCCACCUCCCGGGUUCAAGCGAUUCUCCAGCUGCACCCCAUCCAGCACCAGCUAGGACGUACCAAGGGUCCCAGGAGCCUCAGAACAUCUCCAUCUUCAUAGACGUGUGUUUCAUAGUUCAGGGGCUGCGAAAGGAAAAUAAAUCUUGGGGCCCCCAGAUCGCUAAGCUAAAGGGAAAAGGUCAAGCUGGGAAUUGCUUGGGAGAAACUUGCUUCCCAUUCUAUUCAGUCACCCCUCUGCUCACUGACAUACACGCAUAUCCGAUUGCCUGCUUUGAAGAGGCUACUCAGAAACUCAAAAGAAUGCAACCAUUUGUCUCUUAUCUACCUAUGACCUGGAAGCCCCCUCCCCAUGGAGUUGUCCCACCUUUGCUUCAAGUUGUCCCACCUUUCUGGACUGAACCAAUGUUCAUAUGUAAAUGUGUUGAUUGAUGUCUCAUGUCUCCCUAAAAUGUAUAAAACUAAACUCUGCCCUGACCACCUUGGGCGUAUGUCGUCAGGACCUCCUGAGGCUGUGUCACAGGCGCGUGUCCUCAACCUUGGCAAAAUAAACUUUCUAUAUUAACUAAGACCUGUCUCAGGUAUUCAGGGUUCACGUUUUGGUAACCGUGGAAGGAUUCUGAGUGGAGAUGCCCCUGACCUUUGGCAAAUCUCCUAUCAGUGCUUGGGACCAGCAUGAGCUACCUUUAUGGCUCAAACCAAUAGGACAGCUUGCUGAGGCCUG